UGCAGUCGAGCGGAAACGACUUAACUGAACCUUCGGGGGACGUUAAGGGCGUCGAGCGGCGGACGGGUGAGUAAUGCCUGGGAAUAUGCCUUAGUGUGGGGGAUAACUAUUGGAAACGAUAGCUAAUACCGCAUAAUGUCUUCGGACCAAAGAGGGGGACCUUCGGGCCUCUCGCGCUAAGAUUAGCCCAGGUGAGAUUAGCUAGUUGGUGAGGUAAGAGCUCACCAAGGCGACGAUCUCUAGCUGGUCUGAGAGGAUGAUCAGCCACACUGGAACUGAGACACGGUCCAGACUCCUACGGGAGGCAGCAGUGGGGAAUAUUGCACAAUGGGCGAAAGCCUGAUGCAGCCAUGCCGCGUGUAUGAAGAAGGCCUUCGGGUUGUAAAGUACUUUCAGUAGGGAGGAAGGUGUUGUAGUUAAUAGCUGCAGCAUUUGACGUUACCUACAGAAGAAGCACCGGCUAACUCCGUGCCAGCAGCCGCGGUAAUACGGAGGGUGCGAGCGUUGAUCGGAAUUACUGGGCGUAAAGCGCAUGCAGGUGGUUCAUUAAGUCAGAUGUGAAAGCCCGGGGCUCAACCUCGGAACCGCAUUUGAAACUGGUGAACUAGAGUGCUGUAGAGGGGGGUAGAAUUUCAGGUGUAGCGG
RNAcentral lists this ribosomal RNA (645 nucleotides) under uncultured Vibrio sp. Its description in RNAcentral is "bacterial SSU rRNA". It matches the Rfam family "Bacterial small subunit ribosomal RNA", at positions 56 to 681 of the family's 1533-position model. Lineage: Bacteria; Pseudomonadati; Pseudomonadota; Gammaproteobacteria; Vibrionales; Vibrionaceae. The record is from RNAcentral.